GACGAACGCUGGCGGCGUGCUUAACACAUGCAAGUCGAACGGAAAGGCCCUGCUUUUGUGGGGUGCUCGAGUGGCGAACGGGUGAGUAACACGUGAGUAACCUGCCCUUGACUUUGGGAUAACUUCAGGAAACUGGGGCUAAUACCGGAUAGGAGCUCCUGCUGCAUGGUGGGGGUUGGAAAGUUUCGGCGGUUGGGGAUGGACUCGCGGCUUGUCAGCUUGUUGGUGGGGUAGUGGCUUACCAAGGCUUUGACGGGUAGCCGGCCUGAGAGGGUGACCGGGCACAUUGGGCCUGGGGUACGGCACAGAAUCCUACGGGAGGCAGCAGCGGGGAAUAGUGCAAAAUGGGCGGAAGCCUGAUGCAGCAACGCCGCGUGGGGGAUGACGGCCUUCGGGUUGUAAACCGCUUUCGCCUGUGACGAAGCGUGAGUGACGGUAAUGGGUAAAGAAGCCCCGGCUAACUACGUG
This 468-nucleotide ribosomal RNA is filed under the name uncultured bacterium. RNAcentral's name for it is "partial 16S ribosomal RNA". It matches the Rfam family "Bacterial small subunit ribosomal RNA", at positions 28 to 507 of the family's 1533-position model. The record is from RNAcentral.